CGGCGGCGCGAGGCGAGGGCGUAGCUCAGUAGAUAGCGCCCCACCACAGAGACUGAGGUAGCAGUACCCUGAGACAGUCUAGCUUAGGGGUCUAGAAGAUAAGAAAAGGAAAAUGUAUCAAACUUGAUAACUCUGAUGUAAUAGCGAGAUUGUAAUUUGGAAGUAAAAAUGUAAACAGAAACUGUGAUGUAAAAAGUGGUUCUAAAAUGAAUGCUUGUAAUAGCAAGUAGAUUAUGUAUUUGAUACUUCCUUAUGCAAUCUGGAUUGAUAUCCGUUCCUUGUUGGAACAUUCGUUGAUUGUUUGGAUUGCGACGCCUUGGACGUACUGGGGAGACUCUGUCCGCGUACAAGGGAAUUCCCGGUCCGUUCGGCGGUCUGUCGGCGGCGCCGCGACCCGGUCCAAAUUGGCGGUUGGUCGCGGGGCGUGACACCUAAUGUGUCAUUCAAUUGAGCAUAUGUAUAUACAUUGUUGCAUGCAUUUUAGGAUA
This 488-nucleotide long non-coding RNA is filed under the name Ananas comosus (pineapple). RNAcentral describes it as "long non-coding RNA (ACOM_LNC015089)". Lineage: Eukaryota; Viridiplantae; Streptophyta; Magnoliopsida; Poales; Bromeliaceae. The record is from RNAcentral.